This 410-nucleotide ribosomal RNA is filed under the name uncultured microorganism. RNAcentral describes it as "bacterial SSU rRNA". It matches the Rfam family "Bacterial small subunit ribosomal RNA", at positions 9 to 416 of the family's 1533-position model. The record is from RNAcentral.
GAGUUUGAUCGUGGCUCAGAUUGAACGCUGGCGGCAUGCCUUACACAUGCAAGUCGAACGGCAGCAUGAUCUAGCUUGCUAGAUUGAUGGCGAGUGGCGAACGGGUGAGUAAUACAUCGGAACGUGCCCUGUAGUGGGGAUAACUAGUCGAAAGAUUAGCUAAUACCGCAUACGACCUGAGGGUGAAAGUGGGGGACCGCAAGGCCUCAUGCUAUAGGAGCGGCCGAUGUCUGAUUAGCUAGUUGGUGGGGUAAAGGCCCACCAAGGCGACGAUCAGUAGCUGGUCUGAGAGGACGAUCAGCCACACUGGGACUGAGACACGGCCCAGACUCCUACGGGAGGCAGCAGUGGGGAAUUUUGGACGAUGGGCGAAAGCCUGAUCCAGCAAUGCCGCGUGUGUGAAGAAGGCC